CGUAUACGUAGGCCCCCUCAAGUCUAAGAACAAAAAGCAGAAUAAACAAAUACGCCAGCAGAUCGGCCCACGGGCUAACCAAAAACCAAGUCCGUCUAAUGCUCGCUCUUCUCUGCGGAUUUCUUUAAAAAAUAAAACAACAACAAACACUUCAACGCCAAAACCAUUUUACAACUUUACUCCUUCAACAACAACAAGAACAACAACAAGCACACUGUCACACAAGAAUCUCCAGCGGCAAUCUGUCGGAAUAUUUGCUGAACUAAGCCCAGCUUUUCGGACGUAAAGGCCAGCAGCGCGGACCGCGAGUGCAUUGCCGCAAUCCUCCAGCGGAGGACAACACACACAUCCCAUCCGACAUCUAGCAGGAGCCUCGCCCCUAGAGCGCUAGCCCAAAGAUGGCGGCCUUCAUAGCCAAGCAAAUGGUUGGAAACCAAUUAAGUGCCGUUAAAGAUGCCGCAGGCGGU
Long non-coding RNA from Drosophila serrata, 467 nucleotides. The record is from RefSeq and is a predicted model, not a curated record. NCBI's taxonomy places the organism in Eukaryota, Metazoa, Arthropoda, Insecta, Diptera, Drosophilidae.